GAUGAACGCUGGCGGCGUGCCUAAUACAUGCAAGUCGAGCGAACAGAUGAGGAGCUUGCUCCUCUGACGUUAGCGGCGGACGGGUGAGUAACACGUGGAUAACCUACCUAUAAGACUGGGAUAACUUCGGGAAACCGGAGCUAAUACCGGAUAAUAUAUUGAACCGCAUGGUUCAAUAGUGAAAGACGGUUUUGCUGUCACUUAUAGAUGGAUCCGCGCCGCAUUAGCUAGUUGGUAAGGUAACGGCUUACCAAGGCAACGAUGCGUAGCCGACCUGCGAGGGUGAUCGGCCACACUGGAACUGAGACACGGUCCAGACUCCUACGGGAGGCAGCAGUAGGGAAUCGUACGCAAUGGGCGAAAGCCUGACGGAGCAACGCCGCGUGAGUGAUGAAGGUCUUCGGAUCGUAAAACUCUGUUAUUAGGGAAGAACAAAUGUGUAAGUAACUAUGCACGUCUUGACGGUACCGAAUCAGAAAGCCACGGCUAACUACGUG
Molecule: ribosomal RNA, 497 nt
Filed under: uncultured bacterium
Lineage: Bacteria
Description: partial 16S ribosomal RNA
Rfam family: Bacterial small subunit ribosomal RNA
Source: RNAcentral